UGCUGUAAGAAAGAAAACAGCAGACCAGCUUCAUCUUUAUCCCAUUAUUUUUCACAUUAUAAUGUGCACCCCUUAUGUAACCAACUAGCAACACUAAAUGGGAGCAAUGAUGCAAUUCCUAGGUCUUGCACAAAGGCACAUGCAGGAAAAGGAAUGAGAUUGUUUGUUUAAGGUAUAUAAGAAGUGACACAGAAGACACAGGUCUCCCACCUUAGCUGGUUUUGUAAGAACAUGACGUGAAUAAAUCAAAUUAUUGCAAUUUUGCAAGAGCAGAAGCCCACAAACUGACAAGAGAGGAGACAGGAGAAGAGGAGAUGAAAUUGAAGAGGAAGAGACAUAUGCAGAGGGAAGAGAAGAAAGAAACUACCUGCCAUUGACAACCAAAUAAUUGAGAAAAAUGUAAAAUAUAAAAUUGUGGUUUCUGGAAGCAGAGAAACAGUACUUUUAGACAUGUGAAAAAUACUAAUCUAAACAAAAAAGUAGGAGUGGGACAGAGUUCAAGGGGUUGAAGUCUAUAAUCAGAGUUGGAUAAUCUCACAAUAAACAGUACCUUUUUUCUGUCUGGCUUUUUC
This is a long non-coding RNA of Cyanistes caeruleus (blue tit), 572 nucleotides long. RefSeq lists it as uncharacterized. The record is from RefSeq and is a predicted model, not a curated record. Lineage: Eukaryota; Metazoa; Chordata; Aves; Passeriformes; Paridae.